CGGCACUGGAGGUGGGGACACUAUUUUCUUUGCUGUUGUAUGUUUUAUUUUUUCCAUGAUCCAGAAAAGAAGCUCUUUCUGGGGCUCCCAGGGACAGAUGGUGCAGAGGGAGAGACAGGAAGCUCGCAGAGGUCAUUGGUCAAAAGGGUGAAUCCAGAAGGAACCACCCAGAAGAAUGGGAAGGAAUCCUAGGCAUUCCCGGCCGGAAGGAAGCAGUGCGGUUUGUCUCCUCUCUCACUGCGCAGGGGCCAGUGGCUGUCCAGUCGGCACAGCCUGGCAGAGCACUCUGGGACUGGACUCCACAAUUCACGUGGACGCCCGUCCUUGACGUGCCGGUUUUUUCUAUUUAAUAUUUAUUUUCCAGUUGUGGGUGGACACGAUACCUUUAUUUUAUUAAUUUUUAUGUGGUGCUGAGGAUGGAACCCAGGGCCUCGCUCGUGCUGGGCGAUCGCUCUACGGCUGAGCCACACCUCAGCUUGGUUUUAUCUUUUAAAAACCCUGACAGGUAUCAGAGGAAAAUAAUUUAGUGCUUGUUGUUUACUGCAGUCAGCUGGGGCCGCCUUUCCCUGCACUUUUUUGCUGGUGCCUGUGGCUGUCCACCACGGCCACAAUGUGACAAUGUCAUUUGGCCGUAUCCCUCCUGUUACCUUUAGGGCUGUCUUAACAAAGGCCCUUUGUUAGGAGGUGACCCUAACAGGCAGCUUACCAACAGCAGAUGGUUAUUCUCCCGGUGCCGGGGGCUCGGGUGCCAGCGGGUUGCCAACGCCCUCAGAGCAGGAGGCCAGGUGCUCUCCGCGUCUCUUUGGUAUCACUGAUAUCCCAGCAGAGACUCCCCCAAGACCGUACCUGGCCCUGGAGGUGGGGACACGUGGCAGUGAGGAUUUCAAAGUACAAAUGUUGGGGACCCAAGCAGUCCCUGGCCUUGCUCCAUGAACUCUGGCGACAGACACACCUGGGCACUGCGCACCUGGAUGAAAGGUGAGCAGGACAGUGCACACUUGGAUAUGGCAGGCUUCUGGAUGCUUCCAGGGCUAUGGCCAGGGCUUCUAGGGAGGUGCUGGUGUUUGGGAUCUGCCAAAGUCUGAAGCCCACGGCGGUGCCCUGAGUAGUCACGCCUCUUCACCUAGGCACUGGCCACAGGGUCCACACCGCUCAGGUUUCCUGGUUCUGCCGUCCUCCCCAUGGCUGUGGACACCCCAGGACGGUCUUUGGGUGAAUGUUGGAGAUCGUUUUAGGCGUCUCUCAAUGUGGAACAGAGGAUCCUGAAAUUGAGUGUUUAACGGAGAACCACCAUUUCCUUCUUCCUCAGAUUUCUCUGGAUGGACAGACCCAGCCCGGGACUCCGGGCUGGAGGUGCUGAGUGGAGCGGCCACAGGGAAGACGGCCCCCUGAGCCCACUGAGGCGUGCGAGUGUCGAUGCAGGAGGCUGCCCACCUGCAGGACAGCGGGGAGAAGUGUGCUGUGUGAGUGCCUCACGACGGGGCGCCCAGGCUGCACCCGGGGUGUCUGGGAUCUGAGCCUAGACCAUAGGGGCCCUCAGGGCGGUGAGGGAGCUGCGUGUGCGCAGAGGAAACUUGGGGGUCCUGUGUCCAGCACAAGAUGCCCAGAGCAGCACCACCAGGUGGAAGCAGGACACGGAGCCAGGACAGGGCUGCAGCACAGGGACUGGGCUCUGGAGCCAAGUCCCAGCCCACAGCGGGACCCUGGGCCAGUUCCUUACACGGUCCAGAACAGGCAUCGGAGAGGUGGGCUGGUGUGAGUGGGCUGGUGGAACGUGGGCUGCCACCCGCCUUCCCGAGGUGCAGUCCCAGGAGGAGGGAGGGGCACAAGUAGGAGAAGUCCCAGUUGCCACAGUGUGGCAGCCACCGAUGAAUGGUCACUAACUCAAACCCAGGUGCAUAGCAGAGACAGGUGGCCCUGUGUCCUGGGAAGAGCAGAUUGGUUGUCGUCCCGCUUUUUUAUCCAGUUUAGACAAAGAUGGGCAAAAAAUAAUCUAAAAAAUAAUGAGUUUUUCCAAACAACAGGGACAGACGCACACAGACGGCCAGGUGGUGACACGCAGAGCCUGGAGGGCGCACCAGCCAUCCCAGGAGCCCAGGAGCAUGGUGACCCCCGGGAGCAGGAGGGUGGGGCGGAGGCUCCCUCCCAGCCUCAGAGGAAGCAGCCCUGCUGCCCCGUCAGCCCUGGCCUUCGGAACCCAGGGGAAAUGGAUUUCUGCUUCUCUAAGCCACCCAGUUAGUGACGAUUUGUCAUGGCAGCUCCUGGAAACUAAUACAGGUUCACAGACCUGAUUUUCCGUAUGCCGAUACAGACAUGCAUUUGUUAGGUAAAAGCCUGUGGGUAACGCUCAGUUCCUUCGACAGCGUUAUCGUGAUAAAAUGAGCUCAUUCAUACAUUUUAUAUGCCGAUAAAGACAAAAGAUCCAGGAUACACAAGGUUCCUCUUGUUUCAAUUAUUUUAUUCUUUUAAAUGACAAACAAUGUGGCAAGACAAACAGAAAAAAGAGUCUUCAUGGAACAAAUACCAGGGGAUCCGUGCACCUCAUCGAUCACCCUUCCAGGCCUGCGAACAGACGCCGCUCAGCAGCUACGUGUGCAGCGCCUCUGCAUCUGUGCUUGGGGAUCGCUCUUUGAGGACUGGGAGCAGAAAAUGCCCCCUGGGCUGCCAUGGAGAUUCCUGCUGCCUGGCUCCUGGUGUGAGCCGAUCCUGGGUGGCUUCGUCUCCCCAGGCCUCUGGGAGCCCAGUGCAGGCAGGUGACUCUGUCCUCCCGGAUGCAGUUCCACCCCAUAGAUCUUCCCAGUCCCUUUUCUGUGGCUAUUGCCGAAUACCAGAGGCUGGGUGUAAAGAUGUAAUGAUAAAGGUUUAUAAAGAUAAUAGGUUUGCUCAGCUCGAAGUUUUAGAGUGUGAAGGUUCAAGAUUGGGUGGCCCCUCAUGUUUGGCCUUUGGUGAGGGACCUUGGGAUGUCACAACAUGGUGGACGGCAUCAAGCUGAGGGUGUGAGGCAAGGAGCCUGAGGGUGGGAGGGGCCAGUCUUGACCUUCUGUGAGUCCUUCCAAGGGCACGCCCAGUCACCUCACCAGCUUCUCCUAGGCCCCGCCUCCCGUGCCAUCCUCUGAGACCCAGCCUCCGUGCCGUGGACCAGGAGGACAAGCCACAUCAGCCUAGGAAGACCCGGUCUGUGUCAGGUCUUGGGAGCUCCAGCCAGACCUCCUGCCCUUCUGCAGGAGGCCAAGAGCACCUUGUCCCUGAGAUGCAGCAGCGUCCCAGGACUUGUGCGAGGCCCGGGAGUACGUGGUCAGCACUUGCUUGGUCAGCACCACCUUACCCAGCCCCCACAGCUCUCGGAGACCUGCCUCCGUCACCAGGGGCUCCACCUGGCCCCUGCGGUGAUCCUGGAGAGAACCCCCUGCCCUGGGGGAGCAGGACCGGGUGGACAUCAGGUGCUCCUGCUCCUCGCAGAGCCUGGCCUGCUGGGCUCUGCCUCCGCCUGACCGCCAGCCCCGAUCCCUCCUGCCAUCUGUCGGGAAACAAAGACGGGAGGCCCAGUCAGACAGGGACUGUGGGGACGGAGGCUGCCCGCAGGCCAGCGAGGCUCCCCACACUUGAUGAGCUCCUCUGACCCAGCACCCCACGACUCACUGCCAGAAGGAAUGACAGGGGCACGGAGGCGGACACUCGGCUGGGAGGGACAGCAGCCUCAGGACCAGCCUCAGCUGGGGCCGGUGGCAGCGCGGCAGGUGGCACAGCAGAGGAUGAGCAGGUGGGAAUUUGGAACAGCGAUGACCCCCACAUGGCCCCAGCGGGUGUGGCCCGCUCAGGUCCUAGUGAAGGGACCUCUGGUUGCAUUCUCAGAAGGCAGAGAGACAGAGACAGAGACAGAUACAGAGCAGACGGGGAGACUGGCUCGUGCCGCCCUGAGGCUGGAAAGGGAGGGCAGCUGGGGAAAUGCAGGCGGAGCUGGUGCUGGCCACUGGAGGUCUGUCCUUCCCUAGGAGCCUCGGUUUGCUCUUAGGCCUUCGCCUGAUGGGACAAGACCCACCCACACCAUGAAGGUCCUCGGUGUCACUUGGCCAGCUGAUUGCAGGGCUUAACAGUACCUACUUCUGCAGUGACACUUGGACCAGGGUUCAACUGAAGAUCAGGACCCUGAAUUCUGGCCACAUGGACAAUAGGCCUGACCAGGGCAGGGGCUGGCAGAUGUACUCUGCCUGGCUGUGUCCCUCUUCCCUGCAGGCCAGCCUCUGGGGCUGGGCGUGUAUCUGCCGCCAGGCCUGUCCACUUAGAUUUUUGUGGCGGGACUGGCUGCACACCAGGGUCGUCAUCAACAGGCUCAUCUGGACUGUGCAGGUGACCAGGUGGCCUUUCUGCCCCUAGCAUGUCUGUGUGAAGACGUGUCUAAGACGUGUGACCUAGAGCUGGCCCCUACCUGCAGCUGGUGGGUGGGGCCAUCGCACACGUGCAGAGAGGACAACAACCUGCACUGAGCCACCCUCCACUGGUGACCCCGUGGCCACCCAGCGGGCUGCUUUGCAGAUGAGGAAACCGAGGCCCCAGAGGUUAGGUAUCAUGCCCAGGCUCAUGUGGCUGGUAGGUGAUGAGCCAGGAUAGGAGCCAGACCCUCUGCCCUGCUCCCCGGAGCCCGUGGCACAUCCGGGGUGUCCUGCAUGCGCCUGUGCAGGAAUCAGGCUGACAGCUGGGUCAGGACGCACAGCCAGGAGACUGGACCCCGGCACCAAAUCCCCUGUGACAACUGGACACCUCAUUCUACUCUUGGUGCUGCGUCUCCUUGUCCAGAGUAGGACACACCCCUCCAUCUCCUUUCUCUGGAAAGUUGUGAGAAUUUGUUUCUGUUGAAUCGUUUGAAGAAUCAUGAAAAAAAUUUUUCAAAUGCCAGUUUUACAAAAUAAAGGAUUGGUCGUAAGUUUCCCUUUGGGGGGCCCUGAGACCACAGGAAUCCCAGCGUUCCUGGGAUAUAGUGAAUGGACCUGACUUCCCUGCUGACACGCGGUGGCUUUGCAUUCCAUGUUUGGUCGCCAUCAGAGGAGACCUGGGGCCUUCUAGAGAUGGGCACGUGUGUCUCCAGGUCCCGGAUUCGGGCCUUUCCGAGGAGCCCUGGGCUGACACUCCUGUAAGUGGCGUCUGCACACUUGAAGCGGCUCCGACAGCUGGUCUUGAGGGGCCGUAACUAGACACCCUGCAAACUGGAAGAGAUUAGCUCUGACCACAGGGCACCCAGCAGACCGGCACUUAAUAACCUUCCCAAAUGUGUGAAGCACUUAGUUCUAGAAUAACAGGAAGAACUGGACUGCGGCACGGCGGGCUUGAGAUUCCUCCUGGCCAUCCUCUUCCUCUGGCCAGCCAGCACGGUGACCACAGCCCCGUCCAGCUUCCCAGGGUCCCCCUCCUGGGGCGGCGCGUCCCAGGGAGAUGACAUGCAGGCUCUGUGCCCUGCACAAUGACUCCCUGAGGCCAGUCUUCCUGAGGAAGCAGCCCAGGCUGCAGCCCAGGCCAGGGAAACGUGAGUCUCCACCAAAUCCUCCGCGCCACGGAAACCGCUGCAAAAUUGCUCCCUUCCUCCCCGCAUGGCUGGGCCGGCGGCUCCGGGAGGCCUCCGACAAGAGGGCAUUGUGUGGCUGGACCCCUCCCCUGCCACAAAGGGGGCCUUUCAGGGCUGCCAACGGGGCGGGUGGGGACCCCGAGGCCCCUUGGAGACGGCUCUGGGGCUCCGAGGCGCUCCUGGAACUCUUGGGGUGCUCCUUCUCGGCGCCGGGCUCCGCUCCUGCCAGAGGCCCGCGGGUUCGUGCAGGGAGAAGCGCUCGGCUGUUAUGUGAACAGAGGGACAGAGAACGCUCGGAUUUCUCUGUCGGGAGGUCAUUUCCCCCGGAAGGUCCACAUGGGGAUGGUGGAUUCAUGGUGGGAGCCUCGUUCAGAAAGGGACGCAAGAGACUGGCCGUCCUGGUGGCCUCGGGGAGCUGGGAGUUUGGAGACAGCAGAGGAGGGAAAGAAACUGCGCGGCGUGUCCCCGCAGGCUUUGGAAGACGGACACGGGAACAGAUAUCUAAUUUAAACAUAUCUUCAUCCUGCCCAAGGCCAAGUGUAUACCGUCUCAGAGAGGGAGGGCGUCCGGGAGGCAGGAGCCCAGCCGGCUGCUGGCGAGGCCCCGUGCCUGCUGGGAGAUCUGCUGUCUGCAGAGUAGCCUCGCUGUGCCAGUAACCAAGGGACUGUGGGCUCCGGGGUUCAGUGACUUCAGCCGCCUGUGGUGACCACUACCCUCUUCGGAUAGAAGUGCUGUUUCUUUUUCAUGGACAAAAUGGUUCUCAGACUGGAGGCCACAUUCCCUCCUGCCUCCUGGGUGAGGCUGGCUGGGCUGAGGCUCAUGGGGGCUGCUGCCCAGGGAGGCCAGAUUUACAGCUGAGCUAGGGAGGAGGCCCAGGAGGAGGAGCAGCCCCAGGGACCUCCUGCCACCCUUGCCACCAAGGCGGGGUCACUGGCCUCUGUGCAUGGGCAGGGAGGGUGUUGUUCUCCAAGGACACGGCACUCGCUGAAGCCAGUGUUUUAUUGCUAGAAACAGGAGAGCCCGACCUUGAUCCACCUCUGCCCCCGUUAAAACUAACCGAAAUGUCCCCUGUGUCCGAGUGACCCCAAGCAGGAGGACUGAGCUGCAGACUUUCCACCAGGAGGCUGGGCAGCUGCGGAGUCUUCCAGUGUGAUGGGCACAAUCCGUUCUGCCUGUGAAGCCAAGAGGGGACAAACAGGUCUGUUGAGGGCCGCAGCCGAGUCGGGAUGACGCAUGGCAUUUUUGACAGAAGUAGUGGUCGAGAGGUGACCCCAGGGAGCCAUUAAGAUGAUGACUUUUGAGUUCUCGCGGAGUUCCCGUUGAGUUCCGGUUGAGCUCUCCCGGGGAUUCCUGCAGAGUUCGCGUUGGUUGGUGAGGUUCCGGUGGGGGGAGUUCCGGUUGGUGUGUGGUGGUUGCUGGAGGAGUCGCGUGGGUGGCGUUCGGGAGAGUUCCCGGGGAGUGUGCUGGUGGAGUUUGGAAAUAAAGUUUGUUCCUGCUUGAGUGGUUCGUGAUUUGUGCCCAGCCAGACUGUGGCACAGGUCAGGUCCCCGGGACCUGGAACGGGGUCUGGAACACCUUCUCUAUCAUUAGGGAGAGCCUGAGUUGGGCACCGCGGCAGCAACCUGUCAUCCCUGCGACUUGGUCUCAAGUUCAAGACCAGCCUCAGCAACUCAGCCCUACAUAAUUUAGAGAGACCCUGUUUCAAAAUACAAAACAAAAAGGUCUGGGGAUGUGGUCAGUGGUUAAGCUCCUGUGGGUUCAAUUUCUGGUGCAAAAAAAAAAAGAAAGAUUGACAUAAACUUGAGAGCCGUUUUAAAGGGUUUUUAAAAUGUUCCUUGAAACGGAACAGAAGAAGAAAUACAAUCAGUCAAUAAAUACUUGAAAAAAUAUUAAAUAUUAGUGACAAUUAGAGAAAAGCAAAUUAAAACUACACUGAACUAAUUAGAGCAAAUAAAAAAAAAAAACUAAACUGAGAUUUCAUCUCAUUCCAGUCAGAAUGGCAAUUAUCAAGAAUACAAGCAACAAUAAGUGUUGGUGAGGAUGUGGGGAAAGGCACACUCACUCACUGCUGGUAGGAUUGCAAAUUGGUGCAACCACUCUGGAGAUUCCCCAGAAAAUUUGUCAUGUCAUCACCAUAUGACCCAGUGUCCCACUCCUGAGUAUGGAUCCAAAGGAUUUAAAAUUAGCAUACUACAGUGACAUGCCCUCACCAAUGUUUAUACCAGUUCAAGUCACAAUAGCCAAGCUGUAGAACCAACCUAGAUGCCCUUCGACAGAUGAAUGGAUAAAGAAAAUGUGGUGCAUAUACACAAUGGAAUAUUACUCAGCCAUAAAGAGAAAUGAAAUUAUGGCAUUUGCCAGUAAAUGGAUGGAACUGGAGACUAUCAUGUUAAGUGAAAUAAGCCAAUCCCCCAAAACAAAGGCAGAAUGUUCUCUUCAAUAUUCGGAUGCUGACUCACAAUAGGCAGGGGGAAGGGCAGAG
RNAcentral lists this long non-coding RNA (8039 nucleotides) under Marmota monax (woodchuck). The record is from RNAcentral. Lineage: Eukaryota; Metazoa; Chordata; Mammalia; Rodentia; Sciuridae.